Molecule: ribosomal RNA, 1533 nt
Filed under: Bacillus cereus
Lineage: Bacteria; Bacillati; Bacillota; Bacilli; Caryophanales; Bacillaceae
Description: bacterial LSU rRNA
Rfam family: Bacterial large subunit ribosomal RNA
Source: RNAcentral
CAGGUUAAUAAUCCUGUACUUGGUGUUACUGCGAAGGGGGGACGGAGAAGGCUAUGUUGGCCGGGCGACGGUUGUCCCGGUUUAAGCGUGUAGGCUGGUUUUCCAGGCAAAUCCGGAAAAUCAAGGCUGAGGCGUGAUGACGAGGCACUACGGUGCUGAAGCGACAAAUGCCCUGCUUCCAGGAAAAGCCUCUAAGCAUCAGGUAACAUCAAAUCGUACCCCAAACCGACACAGGUGGUCAGGUAGAGAAUACCAAGGCGCUUGAGAGAACUCGGGUGAAGGAACUAGGCAAAAUGGUGCCGUAACUUCGGGAGAAGGCACGCUGAUAUGUAGGUGAAGCGACUUGCUCGUGGAGCUGAAAUCAGUCGAAGAUACCAGCUGGCUGCAACUGUUUAUUAAAAACACAGCACUGUGCAAACACGAAAGUGGACGUAUACGGUGUGACGCCUGCCCGGUGCCGGAAGGUUAAUUGAUGGGGUUAGCGGUAACGCGAAGCUCUUGAUCGAAGCCCCGGUAAACGGCGGCCGUAACUAUAACGGUCCUAAGGUAGCGAAAUUCCUUGUCGGGUAAGUUCCGACCUGCACGAAUGGCGUAAUGAUGGCCAGGCUGUCUCCACCCGAGACUCAGUGAAAUUGAACUCGCUGUGAAGAUGCAGUGUACCCGCGGCAAGACGGAAAGACCCCGUGAACCUUUACUAUAGCUUGACACUGAACAUUGAGCCUUGAUGUGUAGGAUAGGUGGGAGGCUUUGAAGUGUGGACGCCAGUCUGCAUGGAGCCGACCUUGAAAUACCACCCUUUAAUGUUUGAUGUUCUAACGUGGGCCCCUUACCGGGGUUGCGGACAGUGUCUGGUGGGUAGUUUGACUGGGGCGGUCUCCUCCUAAAGAGUAACGGAGGAGCACGAAGGUUGGCUAAUCCUGGUCGGACAUCAGGAGGUUAGUGCAAUGGCAUAAGCCAGCUUGACUGCGAGCGUGACGGCGCGAGCAGGUGCGAAAGCAGGUCAUAGUGAUCCGGUGGUUCUGAAUGGAAGGGCCAUCGCUCAACGGAUAAAAGGUACUCCGGGGAUAACAGGCUGAUACCGCCCAAGAGUUCAUAUCGACGGCGGUGUUUGGCACCUCGAUGUCGGCUCAUCACAUCCUGGGGCUGAAGUAGGUCCCAAGGGUAUGGCUGUUCGCCAUUUAAAGUGGUACGCGAGCUGGGUUUAGAACGUCGUGAGACAGUUCGGUCCCUAUCUGCCGUGGGCGCUGGAGAACUGAGGGGGGCUGCUCCUAGUACGAGAGGACCGGAGUGGACGCAUCACUGGUGUUCGGGUUGUCAUGCCAAUGGCACUGCCCGGUAGCUAAAUGCGGAAGAGAUAAGUGCUGAAAGCAUCUAAGCACGAAACUUGCCCCGAGAUGAGUUCUCCCUGACUCCUUGAGAGUCCUGAAGGAACGUUGAAGACGACGACGUUGAUAGGCCGGGUGUGUAAGCGCAGCGAUGCGUUGAGCUAACCGGUACUAAUGAACCGUGAGGCUUAACCUUACAACGCCGAAG